RNAcentral lists this ribosomal RNA (433 nucleotides) under uncultured bacterium. Its description in RNAcentral is "partial 16S ribosomal RNA". It matches the Rfam family "Bacterial small subunit ribosomal RNA", at positions 29 to 507 of the family's 1533-position model. The record is from RNAcentral.
AACGAACGCUGGCGGCAUGCCUAACACAUGCAAGUCGAACGAGACCUUCGGGUCUAGUGGCGCACGGGUGCGUAACGCGUGGGAACCUGCCCUUAGGUUCGGAAUAACUCCCCGAAAGGGGUGCUAAUACCGGAUAAUGUCUUCGGACCAAAGAUUUAUCGCCUUUGGAUGGGCCCGCGUUGGAUUAGCUAGUUGGUAGGGUAAAAGCCUACCAAGGCGACGAUCCAUAGCUGGUCUGAGAGGAUGAUCAGCCACACUGGGACUGAGACACGGCCCAGACUCCUACGGGAAGCAGCAGUGGGGAAUAUUGGACGAUGGGCGAAAGCCUGAUCCAGCAAUGCCGCGUGAGUGAUGAAGGCCUUAGGGUUGUAAAGCUCUUUUACCCGGGAUGAUAAUGACAGUACCGGGAGAAUAAGCACCGGCUAACUCCGUG